ACUCACUAUUAGACAGGAGGGCAGACUCACGCUCACUAUUAUAGAGGAGGGUAGACUCAAAAUUAUAGAAAAGUGGAACACUUGCAGGUGAAGUGACAGCCAUGACUGUAGAGAGGAUACAUAGAAAAUUGUUUCUCACUAAAUGCAGGAAUGAAAAACUUACGACUACUUAAAGGUAUGGGGCAUUUCACUGUGGGGAUUACUACAUCUUUGGUCCUGGCACAAGACUUUACGUUGAAGACAAGCAUGUCAAAGAACCAAAAGUGACAGCCUAUCAAGCACCCAAGACCCAAACAAAUGAGAGGACCACCCUGCUGUGUCGGGCCAGUGACAUGUUCCCAGACUUGGUGAGGUUUUCAUGGAAGAUGGAGAGAGAAGACGGCCGGUUGGUGGAGGUGCCUGAAGCAGAGAGAGAAGAGCUGGAGCAGAGGGAGGACGGGAGAGUGACUAGUGUGAUCAUCAUCAAGAACCAAGAAACUAAAACUAAAAACUACCGCUGUACUGUAAAGCAUGAAGUGGCCAAUGUUGAAGUUAAAGACUUUGAAAUACACGAAAAAGAGGAAUCUUCUUUUACCACUGCUGCCUCUCCACCAACCUGUCCACCUCAGAAUCAUACACACGUCUCUCCUGCCAUCCUCUUCCCUGAAGGUAAGUUUACAAUACCGUUGUAAACUGUUUAUCAAUACAUUUUUAUUUUUGUAUGUCUGUAUUUUAAUAUAUUUUUCACGUAAUAAUAAUGCCCAGAUGGAUUGAUGUAACUGCUAUUGACUUUUAUUUCAUUGUUAGUAAAAAAUAAAAACAUGUUUGAAUACUACCUUUGAAUACUACCUAAAAAAACUUACCAGUACAUUUCAUAUGCUUUUGUUUCUUAAUUAAUCUUACAAAAAAGGGUAUGGAAUUCAUGAUCACCAUCACAUUUAUCUGUACGUCCCUUACGUUGCUUUAGGAGAAAUAUAAUGAUGUGUCUG
Long non-coding RNA from Hypomesus transpacificus, 968 nucleotides. RefSeq lists it as uncharacterized. Lineage: Eukaryota; Metazoa; Chordata; Actinopteri; Osmeriformes; Osmeridae. The transcript is spliced from 4 exons. The record is from RefSeq and is a predicted model, not a curated record.